AUACGUAGGGUGCAAGCGUUAAUCGGAAUUACUGGGCGUAAAGCGUGCGCAGGCGGUUUUGUAAGACAGGGGUGAAAUCCCCGGGCUCAACCUGGGAACUGCCAUUGUGACUGCAAGGCUGGAGCGCGGCAGAGGGGGAUGGAAUUCCGCGUGUAGCAGUGAAAGGCGUAGAUAUGCGGAGGAACACCGAUGGCGAAGGCAAUCCCCUGGGCCUGCACUGACGCUCAUGCACGAAAGCGUGGGGAGCAAACAGGAUUAGAUACCCUGGUAGUCCACGCCCUAAACGAUGUCAACUGGUUGUUGGGGAUUUAUUUUCUCAGUAACGAAGCUAACGCGUGAAGUUGACCGCCUGGGGAGUACGGCCGCAAGGUUAAAACUCAAAUGAAUUGGCGGGG
RNAcentral lists this ribosomal RNA (395 nucleotides) under uncultured bacterium. RNAcentral describes it as "partial 16S ribosomal RNA". It matches the Rfam family "Bacterial small subunit ribosomal RNA", at positions 523 to 918 of the family's 1533-position model. The record is from RNAcentral.